RNAcentral lists this long non-coding RNA (267 nucleotides) under Cucumis sativus (cucumber). Its description in RNAcentral is "long non-coding RNA (CSAT_LNC001048)". Lineage: Eukaryota; Viridiplantae; Streptophyta; Magnoliopsida; Cucurbitales; Cucurbitaceae. The record is from RNAcentral.
UUUUCUUUGUGUCUAUGUUGUCUUACUCUUUGGUUUGGAUUCUUCUUGUCUUUUGCUUUGCCUGUAACGUUAGUUGUUUUCUUUGUUGGUUUUUUGUUCUUGUCCCCAAGCUGUGAGGUUGCUUUCUUUUGGGAGGGUUGUUUUGGAUCCUUCUAUUUGUUUCAUCUUGUUGCUUAUUUUGUAAGCGUUGUUACGCUCUUGUGCCUUGACCUCGGGUUGUGAGGUCCUCUUUGUUGUAUAAUAUUAAUGUUACCUUUUCAAAAAAAA